GAAGGGGCAGAGAUGAGGAAACGGCCCGGAGCUGGGAGAAGUCACGGUGGGCGGGGCCAAGGGGCAGAGCAGUCCCGCGUUGACCUGUGUUUAGGGACCCCCCUCCUCUCCAGACCUCACCGGGGUAUCGCCCCACCCCCUGCACGGCUGGCGUGUGACAAGGCUUGAACUUCGGGCAAAGCUUCUGCUUUCCCAGAAUUACCCGGGUUGCUAGGAAGCAGGCAGGGCCCUAGUGGCCAUGAAACUCUUGUCCUGUAGCCCUGUAAGGGAUGCAAACUGGACACGCCCCCUCCUCGCCUUCCUUUACCGUAGUCCGUUUUUCCCGCGUGAGCUGCCAGGUGAAUCCUGACCUACAGGGUCCCAGUCCGGGAGAGGCAGGUCCCUAAACUGGGGACUCCUUCCCAGGGAGGAGAAAUUCCCUUUCACAACACCAGAGGGCGCAGUCGCCACUCUCACGGGAGCCCUGCCCAGCCUUUAACCUCUUGGCUCUGGAUUCACUCCCCGGCCCUUCCAGGCCCCACCUGGGGCCUGGGGCCUGGGCUACAGCAGAAGCGGCCGGGGGGGGGGGCUCCGUGAGGCGCAGGUGUUCACCAGAUACCUCACGGUUCCGCAGGGCCAGAUCCUGAAUCCCAGACUUUGGGCCUGCCUGGGGCUCCCCUGAGAGGAAACCCCGAAGCCUGAGGAGCUCUAUACCUGUGUUUUAAAAAUCGCAACUCCAGGCCACCUCCUCCUGAAAGCCUUUCUGGAUUAUGCCAGACUGCACCCGUCUACACAGUCUGGAGUGCAGCUGGAUUGGGGGAAAGACAUCUGAAUUUCCAGGCUUCGACUCUUCCCUAGGUCCCUGAAUUAUCAAAGAAUUCCGCGGGAUGGUUCUGUGGUUUUCACAGCAGAUUAUCUGGGUCCUUGUUUACUUUUGGGCUCUUCCCUCUGACUCAGGGCCCAGACUUUCUGGGAACGGAGGGGAAAGGGAGGGGUAGCACGCGGCGAGCUGACUAUGGGGUUAUUUCUGACCCUGGAGUCAUCAGCUUCCCAGUCACAGACAGACUGGAGCGGGGUGAGGGGGUGGGGUGGGGGGGGGUGUCAUGCCUCCCUCUUCUUGGCCUCCCAGAACCCAAGGUGCUUAGCAGGCUCCGGAGAUCCUGACAUUUAGACCAGGAAGGUGAGGGGUGUCAGGGGGACCAUCCAGAGCACACAUGAAGGAAGCCUUUUGCCCAGGCUCUGGGUCUAAGGCCGUGCAGGUGCAUCCUGUUACCUGGCAGCAAAGGUCUUCCUUCUGACAUCCUGGAUGCCCUCUGGUGCCAGGGAUCGACCCAGGCCCUGCUCACUUUUUCCACUGAGUCAGCGUGAGUCAUGCUGCACUAACCUGGGGGCAGAGAGAGGGGCAUCUGGGGACCCCUUCUCUUACAUCCACUCCCUCUUUUGGCUUCCCCUGU
Long non-coding RNA from Leopardus geoffroyi (Geoffroy's cat), 1433 nucleotides. RefSeq lists it as uncharacterized. The record is from RefSeq and is a predicted model, not a curated record. Lineage: Eukaryota; Metazoa; Chordata; Mammalia; Carnivora; Felidae. The transcript has 3 exons.